UGCAAGAUUAAUCUAUGGUUUACGAUACCUGAACAAGUAUAAACGAGAGAAGGACACUGGAAAAUAGCAGUUUCUGCAACUGAGCAAGAGAUAAAAAUGGAAUUCAUCUGAAUGGUCUCAAUUGCUUCAAAUUGAGAUAUCGAUCAUCGUAAUAGCGACGUUUAUCGUGCGAUGUAAGGAAUAUUCAUGCGCAGGCGCAGACACGAUCUUGACAAGAAAGACAUCUUCAGUUGCAUUUGUACCGUUGCAGAAUGUAUAUCUUCCUUUACAUGACUUUGAAAUAUUAGUCGAAUAAUAUGCCAAGUUGCGUGUACAAGUUUAACAUAUAAGAAAUAUAUAUAAGAUAGUAGUAAAAUCAUUUAUAAGAAUUAUACUAUAGUAUAAUUCUUCCAAUACGUGUUGUGCCAUUUUACAUGACUUUCUUCUUUUUAAGAAAAUAGUAGAGCUUAAAUAUUUGCAACCUUGUAGCAACAUAAGUAAACCUUGUAGCAAUAUAAUUAAUUAUUUAAUUAUAUGAAAGUUGUAUUAAAAGGAGACUAAUAUAAUUUCUUACGUAAUAAGCAUUGCACGAUAUUUGGGAAAAUAUAUUCUUAUAUAUUUAUUAUAAUACAUAUAUAAUAUAUUUUUGUUGUACAUCCCAAUGUAAAGCCAAUACAGUUACAUGCUAUUUACAAUAUUUUUUAAAAUCAUUUUUAUAUUAUUUUCUUUAUAUUAUAAAUAUUUUUCACACGAUACUCGCUAUCUUUUAAGUAACACAUAAAGAACUUACAUGUAUUCAUGGCUUAUUAUGACUUAAGCGGUAGUAGCAAAAUUAAUAG
Ooceraea biroi (clonal raider ant) is the source of this 818-nucleotide long non-coding RNA. RefSeq lists it as uncharacterized. Lineage: Eukaryota; Metazoa; Arthropoda; Insecta; Hymenoptera; Formicidae. The record is from RefSeq and is a predicted model, not a curated record.